UACGAAUCAUGUGCAUGGAACUGACUGCAUGUUUUCCACUCUGAACAUUAGUUAACUAAUUUAUAUCAGUAAUUUUUGUAACAGAUUAAAUGACCUUAAAAGGCAAGAGAAAAGAAAACUGUGUGAUAGUUAAUGUGCAUGGGGAGUUAUAGUUAAUGGGGAAAUCCGAGUUCUCAGGAUUUUCAAUAUGCCAACAGACCAAAGCAGGAGUUUUUUGGAUUCCACAAGGGAAAGUCUUUAGAAGCCAGCCAUAUUGUCUGUCCCAGGUGAAUUGUGGGGUUCCAGGGCUCAUUGCCAGAUCCAGUGACAUAUGAACAGAACACAGUUUUGAUUUUUUUAUUUUAAAUAAAUUAUUAAAAUAAAAAUAAGUUGAAGUAUUUCACUUCUGCAACAUUUCAUGUAUGCAUUUAAACUCCUGAGCGGUUAUAGACUUGGAGGAAACCACUGGCUGCCCACUGUCAUGACCAGGAACAUGGUGAGAUUCUAAACUCUUUAAACUCCAAGAAGUAAACCAUUUUUUUUGUAUUUUAAAGAUUGUAAUUUUUGUUUUUUUGGCUUUUUUUGGACAGUGGCAGUAAAAACACAGUGGAGUGAGAUGGGAUGAUUUGCAGCAAAGGGCCUAAGCUGGAACUGAAGCUUGACUGCCUGAAGAACAGUAUGUGGUACGCGUUCUACCAGUUGUUCUUGAAAUGGACCUCAUCAAUCUCUUUCCUGUUCUACAAAUCCCCCCUUUUGAUCAGACGCUGGUCUUGUCCAGGAUAAAUAUUGAGAGGAUCAGAUCAGCCCACACUGGACAACAUGCAAGUCCUCAAGCUGAACUAGUGACCGUAAAGGCUGUAGCUUCCAGUUUCUCGAACAUCAUGUCACCAUUGUCCCAUGUCUUCACACAAGUCUGGACUCAGUGACUUAUUCCUCUUGUUCAACCAGGGCAAGUAAGCCCUGAUACAUAAUGUUUGUUUAUUUCACCAUGGAUUAUCCAUCAUAUGGACAUGUGCUGUUUUGUCAAGAUUUCAUUACUAAUUUGGGAGUAUUGGACAAGGUAUUUGAUCAAUUCAAACUGUUUUUAAUUUUAAUUUUAAUACUUUUGUGCCUUGGUUUACAAUGGACCUUAUUCACUUAGUAAUUAAUCAUAAAAAGAUGUUGACAGUAAAAU
Molecule: long non-coding RNA, 1153 nt
Organism: Hemibagrus wyckioides
Lineage: Eukaryota; Metazoa; Chordata; Actinopteri; Siluriformes; Bagridae
Exons: 3
Source: RefSeq, a predicted model, not a curated record